CGCGGGAUUAGAGUUUGAUCAUGGCUCAGAUUGAACGCUGGCGGCAGGCCUAACACAUGCAAGUCGAGCGCGAAAGCACUUCGGUGUGAGUAGAGCGGCGGACGGGUGAGUAAUGCUUGGGAAUCUGCCCAGUAGUGGGGGAUAACGUGUGGAAACGCACGCUAAUACCGCAUACGUCCUACGGGAGAAAGCAGGGGAUCUUCGGACCUUGCGCUAUUGGAUGAGCCCAAGUCGGAUUAGCUAGUUGGUGGGGUAAUGGCCUACCAAGGCGACGAUCCGUAGCUGGUCUGGGAGGAUGAUCAGCCACACUGGGACUGAGACACGGCCCAGACUCCUACGGGAGGCAGCAGUGGGGAAUAUUGCACAAUGGGCGAAAGCCUGAUGCAGCCAUGCCGCGUGUGUGAAGAAGGCUCUAGGGUUGUAAAGCACUUUCAGUAGGGAGGAAAUGUUGUUGAUUAAUACCCAACAAUCUUGACGUUACCUACAGAAGAAGCACCGGCAAACUCCGUGCCAGCAGCCGCGGUAAUACGGAGGGUGCGAGCGUUAAUCGGAAUUACUGGGCGUAAAGCGCGCGUAGGUGGUUUGAUAAGCUAGCUGUGAAAGCCCCGGGCUUAACCUGGGAACUGCAGUUAGAACUGUCUGACUAGAGUACUGUAGAGGGGGGUAGAAUUUCA
RNAcentral lists this ribosomal RNA (674 nucleotides) under uncultured Vibrionaceae bacterium. RNAcentral describes it as "bacterial SSU rRNA". It matches the Rfam family "Bacterial small subunit ribosomal RNA", at positions 1 to 671 of the family's 1533-position model. The record is from RNAcentral. Lineage: Bacteria; Pseudomonadati; Pseudomonadota; Gammaproteobacteria; Vibrionales; Vibrionaceae.